ACAUUUGUCUGGUACAGGAAAUACCAUGAUGAAGAACAUGGCUUUCUCUGGAAGAGCUCCCUCCAUUGCGCUUCUGAUGCCCUGACCUCUGAAAAUCCUCCCGAUUUGAGAAACUGCACUGCAGAAUUGGUCAUUGUGGGGGACUUUAAAUUUUCCCCCC
Molecule: small nuclear RNA, 160 nt
Organism: Mesocricetus auratus (golden hamster)
Lineage: Eukaryota; Metazoa; Chordata; Mammalia; Rodentia; Cricetidae
Gene: U1
Rfam family: U1 spliceosomal RNA
About the family: U1 is a small nuclear RNA (snRNA) component of the spliceosome (involved in pre-mRNA splicing).
Source: Ensembl